RNAcentral lists this ribosomal RNA (210 nucleotides) under Malus domestica (apple). RNAcentral describes it as "rRNA MD10G0240600". It matches the Rfam family "Bacterial large subunit ribosomal RNA", at positions 1797 to 2006 of the family's 2925-position model. The record is from RNAcentral. Lineage: Eukaryota; Viridiplantae; Streptophyta; Magnoliopsida; Rosales; Rosaceae.
CAUGAGUUUAAUAUAUUAAACUCAUAAAUUGGUAUUAGACCAUGUACGGGGCUUGACGCUUGCCUAGUGCCAUAUGGUCAAGGAACUUGGUGACAUAUUGACAAGGGAGCCGGCAACUGAAGCCCUUGUGAAAGCGACCGUAACUAUAAUGAUCAUAAAGUAACGAAAUUUCUUAUCGGGUAAGUUCUGACCCGCACAACAAACGUAAUG